UACAGAGGUCUCAAGCGUUGUUCGGAUUCAUUGGGCGUAAAGGGUGUGUAGGUGGCGCCGUAAGUCGGGUGUGAAAUCUCGGAGCUUAACUCCGAAACUGCAUUCGAUACUGCCGUGCUUGAGGACUGGAGAGGAGACUGGAAUUUACGGUGUAGCGGUGAAAUGCGUAGAUAUCGUAAGGAAGACCAGUGGCGAAGGCGGGUCUCUGGACAGUUCCUGACGCUGAGGCACGAAGGUCAGGGGAGCAAACGGG
Molecule: ribosomal RNA, 253 nt
Filed under: uncultured bacterium
Lineage: Bacteria
Description: partial 16S ribosomal RNA
Rfam family: Bacterial small subunit ribosomal RNA
Source: RNAcentral